UACAGGGGGUGCAAACGUUGCUCGGAAUUAUUGGGCGUAAAGCGCGCGUAGGCGGCCACUUAAGUCGGAUGUGAAAGCCCCUGGCUCAACUGGGGAAGUGCACCCGAAACUGAAUGGCUUGAAUGCAAAAGAGGGUCGCGGAAUUCCCGGUGUAGAGGUGAAAUUCGUAGAUAUCGGGAGGAACACCGGUGGCGAAGGCGGCGACCUGGGUUGACAUUGACGCUGAGGAGCGAAAGCGUGGGGAGCGAACAGG
RNAcentral lists this ribosomal RNA (253 nucleotides) under uncultured bacterium. RNAcentral's name for it is "partial 16S ribosomal RNA". It matches the Rfam family "Bacterial small subunit ribosomal RNA", at positions 524 to 776 of the family's 1533-position model. The record is from RNAcentral.